CCUACGGGAGGCUGCAGUGGGGAAUAUUGCGCAAUGGGCGAAAGCCUGACGCAGCGACGCCGCGUGAGGGAUGAAGGUCUUCGGAUCGUAAACCUCUGUCAGCAGGGAAGAACGGUCACUGUGCUAAUCAGCAGUGAAUUGACGGUACCUGCAAAGGAAGCACCGGCUAACUACGUGCCAGCAGCCGCGGUAAUACGUAGGGGGCAAGCGUUAUCCGGAUUUACUGGGUGUAAAGGGAGCGUAGACGGUGAUGCAAGUCAGAAGUGAAAGCCCGGGGCUCAACUCCGGGACUGCUUUUGAAACUGUGUGACUGGAGUGCAGGAGAGGUAAGCGGAAUUCCUGGUGUAGCGGUGAAAUGCGUAGAUAUCAGGAGGAACACCAGUGGCGAAGGCGGCUUACUGGACUGUAACUGACGUUGAGGCUCGAAAGCGUGGGGAGCAAACAGGAUUAGAUACCCCAGUAGUC
This 465-nucleotide ribosomal RNA is filed under the name uncultured bacterium. Its description in RNAcentral is "partial 16S ribosomal RNA". It matches the Rfam family "Bacterial small subunit ribosomal RNA", at positions 338 to 795 of the family's 1533-position model. The record is from RNAcentral.